RNA transcript from Manihot esculenta (cassava), 2562 nucleotides. It is a transcript of the gene named protein SRC2, with no coding region annotated. The transcript is spliced from 2 exons. The record is from RefSeq and is a predicted model, not a curated record. Lineage: Eukaryota; Viridiplantae; Streptophyta; Magnoliopsida; Malpighiales; Euphorbiaceae.
AGGGUCCUACCUGCCAAAAUAUGCUAUUUUUCCAGUGCAUACUGUAUAUCUAUGUCACCGCCAAUCACCAAAAGCCACUUGCACUCUCUCUCUCUCUCUCUCUCUCGUUUUAGGCUUCUACCUCCCAAGGUUUCAUCCCAGCAACUAUCGGGCGUGGGGGAAAAAUGGUGGCCAGUAAGAAACCAACUUCAAAGGGCUUCUAGCAUAUGGACUUAUCAAACUGAUCAUUAUAUAACUUGGAGAAGCUUUUGAUAGUGAGGUUGGCAAGUUGAAGUGCGUUCGAGUGAGUAUGAAAAUAACACUGUAAUUUUGGUUUUAAAGAUGGAUGUAAUAGGAAGAGUAGGAUUGGAUGAUCCAGCCUUUAUCAUUACACUGAGUAGAGAAAUUGCUUCUAUGCUUAAGGCUGCUGCUGGGGUUUCUGGCUCAUUAAACAGGGAAUUUGAGGUUCAAAACACUGGCACUGCGUUUUAAGCAAAAUGGUAGGAGAACAAACUGAGAGAACUGGUGGAGGAAGUGAUUGUUUGGAAAAUGUUUCAAAUCUAAUAGGAUAUAAAUAUGAGUGUAGAGAUAUGGUAAGGGGGAGGGUUGAAUCUUACCCUUAUGGGUCGUAACAGGUAUUCAAUUAGGCAAUUUUUGUGUCUUAUGUGCAAAAGCGAAGAUAAUGGUCAUGACUUGGUUGCAGUUUUUUGGGGAUAGUAGCUAUGGAAGGCUUGAUCAGUGCAUUUUCUCCCAUUUGAUCAUUGUUAAAUCGAGAAACCAAAGCAAACAGAUGCAACCGCUUUUGUGAAUGCUGUUCAAUUGAUCUAUGUGGACAUGAGCCUAGUGGGUGCUAUAAAAUUAUGCAAAUUAAGAGAUCUAAAGCUGGGUCAGUCAGUUGAGAUGCUCAAUUUUCUAAGCAGUUGGAAGUAAUGCCAUGUAAGAAUUUUCAAAGAGUGUUCAAAUAUGUGGCUAUAGUUCCUGAGAACCAAAUUUAAAAACUGCAUAUCUCUGCUGAAUAGGAAUUAAAGUAACAUGCGAUUCACUGAAUAGAAAGGUUUAGUUCUUAUAGGCACUAAAGCAAAAAUUUCCUCAUCAGAAAGCUACUCGAUGUAUAUCACUAGGUUUGACAAGGACUAUUAAAGUUUUACAUCGAUAGGUACUGAUAACAUAACUGGCUCUUGCUGUAUAGGAAUAUGAGAUUAUGAAACUAAGAAGGAAAAAGAAAAAAAAAAAAAAUCCAAAGUAGAACUUUAGAUUAGCUCCAGUAUUUUGGUAGGUGCAAUGGCUUAAUGAAAUGGCAGAAGUGCAAGGCAUCAUUUUGGUCCUUCCAAACUCGUACAAAACUUGGAAGUCACUGAUAAUAAGUGUAACGUAAUUCCAAAAGCAUUUGCCUAAUAUGAUACAGAGAAAAUAUCGACAUAUUUAGUGUUUUGAAAAUUCUAGUUCAAUGCAGAUGUACAUUGGCUUGAGGUGAUUGUUUAUUUAACUUUAUCCUGCCAAGUCAAAAUAAUCCCCAAAUUGAGAGGGGAUGCAGGGUGCACUCCAAAAGCUCCAGUAUGUGUCUCAGCUGGAGAUGAGAGGGUACUUUAUCCUGCUGAGGCAAAACCAUAUUUGAAUUGACGGGGCACGGUGGGUGUGUUGUGAAUGCCACUACAUAUACCCUUCACAGCUUCCUUGAGCAAAAUAUCUAUAGGUCCUAGAAUAGUCAAGAUCAACAUUAGGGAGCCAAAACACUGUGAAGAAAAAGAUGAACUGGAUGUUUUGAGAGUCCAUUAUGGUAGUCAGACGCAAGAAAGCUUUUUAAGUUCAUCAUAUGAGAUGAUGUGAAAGCAUCUCUUGUAGCUAGAAAGUCUUGCAACAAAACAGAUGCAGUCUUUCACAAGAAAACAGAGUUUCUGUGCAAAGGAGAAAUAAAUUAAACUUCUGGCUGUAUGAAUGCUGAUAUGAGUUCUUGUCUUUCUUAUAAAGAAGCUACAAUGAUGAACAAGCAAAUGAUGCUUAAAUUAUGUUGAACUGGCUUACAGAGGUUCUAAACUGACUUGAACAGUACGUUAUAGGAUGUGCGAUACCAUCUCUGGUAACCUCCAACUGCAACUAUUCCUUCUUCUUAUCCAGUUACUUGGAUUAAUCCCCCUGUUGGAACUUUUAAACUCAACUUUAAUAUUGCCACCGAUACUAGAAUAAUAUAGGAGCCACAGCAGUCAUAGUUCGAGAUUCUUCUGGCAAAGUGAUUCAAUUGAGUUGUAGGCUCUGGCUAGCUCAAUGUGAUCCACUUAUUCUUGAAAGUUUGGCCUGCCAAGAAGCUGUUCUAUUAGCUCACAGAAUUGAUAUCUCACGACCCCAGAUUGAAGGGGACUCUUCUGUGGUUAUCAAUUCACUGUUGGGUGAUCCUAUUCCCUUGGCUAUCCAAAUAAUCGUCCAUGGUAUCACUGUUCUUUCUAGGUCUAUACAGAGUAUUGUUUUUAUCUUGUGAAGAGAGAGGCUAAUGUUAGUGCUCACAGCCUUGCUAGAAAGUUUAUAUCGGACCCUGCGUUCCGAGUUAACGCUCUUUUGCAAUUUGAUUUCAUCUGUAAUUCCUUAUUA